GACGUAGGGGGCCAGCGUUGCUCGGAAUUACUGGGCGUAAAGGGUCCGUAGGCGGUGCGGUAAGUCGGGAGUGAAAUCUCUGGGCUUAACUCAGAGGCUGCUUCCGAAACUACCGUGCUAGAGUGCGAGAGAGGCAAGUGGAAUUGCGGGUGUAGCGGUGAAAUGCGUAGAUAUCCGCAGGAACAUCCGAGGCGAAAGCGGCUUGCUGGAUCGCAACUGACGCUGAGGGACGAAAGCUAGGGGAGCAAAUGGG
This 253-nucleotide ribosomal RNA is filed under the name uncultured bacterium. RNAcentral's name for it is "partial 16S ribosomal RNA". It matches the Rfam family "Bacterial small subunit ribosomal RNA", at positions 524 to 776 of the family's 1533-position model. The record is from RNAcentral.